This 253-nucleotide ribosomal RNA is filed under the name uncultured bacterium. RNAcentral describes it as "partial 16S ribosomal RNA". It matches the Rfam family "Bacterial small subunit ribosomal RNA", at positions 524 to 776 of the family's 1533-position model. The record is from RNAcentral.
UACGAAGGGGGCUAGCGUUGUUCGGAUUUACUGGGCGUAAAGCGCACGUAGGCGGACUGGUCAGUUAGGGGUGAAAUCCUGGAGCUCAACUCCAGAACUGCCUUUAAUACUGCCAGUCUCGAGUCCGGAAGAGGUAAGUGGAACUCCUAGUGUAGAGGUGGAAUUCGUAGAUAUUAGGAAGAACACCAGUGGCGAAGGCGGCUUACUGGUCCGGUACUGACGCUGAGGUGCGAAAGCUAGGGGAGCAAACAGG